UUUGAUGUCGAUCCGAAGCAUGAAUGACGCUAAAUGCACCAUGGUAGCCAAAGUUUAGAAAUCAGGGAACAUUUUAUUUGGUUUUGGUUACCUCUGUACUAUUUUAAAUUAUUUGAAAAUCUCAGAUUAAUUAACACAAGAGCACCUCAGAGGUGCAAAACCACAGUAAAAACAGUAAAGGUUGAACAUCAGUGACUCUCCAGGGAACAUGAAGCUGAUCUGAGCUGAACUGUGGAGGAUGGGAGGGUCCAGGCCUUAAUGCAGCACUGAGGCAGAGCAGGGAUGUGUUGAGGUCAACCUGCCAGUAGGGGGAGUACCACAGGGCUCCUGUCAGCACAUGAAGACGGAGCACAGAGCAGCCAGCUCUGUUUCUGCUCGCUCCUCAGACAUGCCUCCUCUGUUGUUCUCAGUGCUGCUGGCUGCUGUCAGCCUCGAAUGCAGAGCGCAGACCGACGGCGUGCUGCAACCAGAGAGAGACGUGAUGGCUGCUGAAGGAGGCAGUGCAACUCUGAACUGUCUCUAUAACACCAGUGCAUCCAACCACUACCUCUACUGGUACAGACUGGAGGAAGGCAGCAGCCCCAUAUUCAUCCUGAGUCGCUUCAAGAUUGGAGAUGGGAAAACGGUGGAGAAGAGAUUUUCCUCCAGCCUGGAUGCCACUGCUAGAUCGGUUCCUCUGACGAUCCAGGAUCUCCGUCCGUCAGACUCUGCUGUGUACUACUGCGCUCUGCAGCCCACAGUGACAGGAAACACCAGAACCCUGUACAAAAACCUGCAGUACUCCACAGCAGCCACUAGAGGGCCUCGCUCCCUCUGUUUGGUUGAAUUCAGUCUGAAACAGACCUCUGUGUGUUUGGCUCAUCAGUUUGAGAUGAAAAUGUGGAAACCAGGAAGUGAGUUUGGUGAAUCAUUAAAGUAAAAAGAUAUUUAAAAAGAAUUAAUGAAUUUGACUUGAAAUCCAAUCAACAAUUUCUGAAAAAUAUGACCUUUUUAUGAUAAAAUAUCAUCCAUUUUCCUCUAUGGAGUCUUUCUGCUGUUGAAAUCAUACUGAGGGA
Xiphophorus couchianus (Monterrey platyfish) is the source of this 1055-nucleotide non-coding RNA. The record is from the annotation of a RefSeq genome assembly. NCBI's taxonomy places the organism in Eukaryota, Metazoa, Chordata, Actinopteri, Cyprinodontiformes, Poeciliidae.